CGGAAUGGCCGGGGUGCCUAAUACAUGCAAGUCGAGCGGACAGAAGGGAGCUUGCUCCCGGAUGUUAGCGGCGGACGGGUGAGUAACACGUGGGUAACCUGCCUGUAAGACUGGGAUAACUCCGGGAAACCGGAGCUAAUACCGGAUAGUUCCUUGAACCGCAUGGUUCAAGGAUGAAAGACGGUUUCGGCUGUCACUUACAGAUGGACCCGCGGCGCAUUAGCUAGUUGGUGAGGUAACGGCUCACCAAGGCGACGAUGCGUAGCCGACCUGAGAGGGUGAUCGGCCACACUGGGACUGAGACACGGCCCAGACUCCUACGGGAGGCAGCAGUAGGGAAUCUUCCGCAAUGGACGAAAGUCUGACGGAGCAACGCCGCGUGAGUGAUGAAGGUUUUCGGAUCGUAAAGCUCUGUUGUUAGGGAAGAACAAGUGCAAGAGUAACUGCUUGCACCUUGACGGUACCUAACCAGAAAGCCACGGCUAACUACGUGCCAGCAGCCGCGGUAAUACGUAGGUGGCAAGCGUUGUCCGGAAUUAUUGGGCGUAAAGGGCUCGCAGGCGGUUUCUUAAGUCUGAUGUGAAAGCCCCCGGCUCAACCGGGGAGGGUCAUUGGAAACUGGGAAACUUGAGUGCAGAAGAGGAGAGUGGAAUUCCACGUGUAGCGGUGAAAUGCGUAGAGAUGUGGAGGAACACCAGUGGCGAAGGCGACUCUCUGGUCUGUAACUGACGCUGAGGAGCGAAAGCGUGGGGAGCGAACAGGAUUAGAUACCCUGGUAGUCCACGCCGUAAACGAUGAGUGCUAAGUGUUAGGGGGUUUCCGCCCCUUAGUGCUGCAGCUAACGCAUUAAGCACUCCGCCUGGGGAGUACGGUCGCAAGACUGAAACUCAAAGGAAUUGACGGGGGCCCGCACAAGCGGUGGAGCAUGUGGUUUAAUUCGAAGCAACGCGAAGAACCUUACCAGUCUUGACAUCCUCUGAACAACCUAGAAGAUAGGGCUUUCCUUUCGGGGACAGAAGUGACAGGUGGUGCAUGAUGGUCGGUCAGCUCGUGUCGUGGAGAUGUGGCUAAGUCCCGCAACGAGCGCAACCCUUUGAUC
Molecule: ribosomal RNA, 1099 nt
Filed under: Bacillus altitudinis
Lineage: Bacteria; Bacillati; Bacillota; Bacilli; Caryophanales; Bacillaceae
Description: bacterial SSU rRNA
Rfam family: Bacterial small subunit ribosomal RNA
Source: RNAcentral